Molecule: ribosomal RNA, 496 nt
Filed under: uncultured bacterium
Lineage: Bacteria
Description: partial 16S ribosomal RNA
Rfam family: Bacterial small subunit ribosomal RNA
Source: RNAcentral
AUGCACGCUGGCGGCGUGCCUCAUCCCUGCCAGUCGAGCGCACAGACGAGGAGCUUGCUCCUCUGACGUUAGCGGCGGACGGGUGAGUAACACGUGGAUAACCUACCUAUAAGACUGGGAUAACUUCGGGAGACCGGAGCUAAUACCGGAUAAUAUAUUGAACCGCAUGGUUCCAUAGUGAAAGACGGUUUUGCUGUCACUUAUAGAUGGAUCCGCGCCGCAUUAGCUAGUUGGUAAGGUAACGGCUUACCAAGGCAACGAUGCGUAGCCGACCUGAGAGGGUGAUCGGCCACACUGGAACUGAGACACGGUCCAGACUCCUACGGGAGGCAGCAGUAGGGAAUCUUCCGCAAUGGGCGAAAGCCUGACGGAGCAACGCCGCGUGAGUGAUGAAGGUCUUCGGAUCGUAAAACUCUGUUAUUAGGGAAGAACAAAUGUGUAAGUAACUAUGCACGUCUUGACGGUACCUAAUCAGAAAGCCACGGCUAACUACGUG